GUAGUCCACGCCGUAAACGAUGGGCACUAGGUGCUUGGGGGAGCGACCCCCUGAGUGCCGACGCUAACGCAUUAAGUGCCCCGCCUGGGGAGUACGACCGCAAGGUUGAAACUCAAAGGAAUUGACGGGGGCCCGCACAAGCGGUGGAGCAUGUGGUUUAAUUCGACGCAACGCGAAGAACCUUACCUAGGCUUGACAUGGCCGUGAACUCGGUGGGAAACCGCCGGGGUCCUUCGGGACGCGGUCACAGGUGCUGCAUGGCUGUCGUCAGCUCGUGUCGUGAGAUGUUGGGUUAAGUCCCGCAACGAGCGCAACCCUCGUCGCUAGUUACCAGCGCGUCAUGGCGGGGACUCUAGCGAGACUGCCGGUGCCAAACCGGA
Molecule: ribosomal RNA, 380 nt
Filed under: uncultured bacterium
Lineage: Bacteria
Description: bacterial SSU rRNA
Rfam family: Bacterial small subunit ribosomal RNA
Source: RNAcentral